This 468-nucleotide ribosomal RNA is filed under the name uncultured bacterium. RNAcentral describes it as "partial 16S ribosomal RNA". It matches the Rfam family "Bacterial small subunit ribosomal RNA", at positions 28 to 507 of the family's 1533-position model. The record is from RNAcentral.
GACGAACGCUGGCGGCGUGCUUAACACAUGCAAGUCGAACGGAAAGGCCCUGCUUUUGUGGGGUGCUCGAGUGGCGAACGGGUGAGUAACACGUGAGUAACCUGCCCUUGACUUUGGGAUAACUUCAGGAAACUGGGGCUAAUACCGGAUAGGAGCUCCUGCUGCAUGGUGGGGGUUGGAAAGUUUCGGCGGUUGGGGAUGGACUCGCGGCUUAUCAGCUUGUUGGUGGGGUAGUGGCUUACCAAGGCUUUGACGGGUAGCGGGCCUGAGAGGGUGACCGGCCACAUCGGGACUGAGAUACGGCCCAGACUCCUACGGGAGGCAGCAGUGGGGAAUAUUGCACAAUGGGCGGAAGCCUGAUGCAGCAACGCCGCGUGCGGGAUGACGGCCUUCGGGUUGUAAACCGCUUUCGCCUGUGACGAAGCGUGAGUGACGGUAAUGGGUAAAGAAGCACCGGCUAACUACGUG